UUUUGGUUCAACCAAUCGCCUGUGAAAGUUGAAUCAUGUAAAUUCCCUAUUAGCACACCAGUCGCUGCUGGUGAAUUUUCCUGUCGGCAAAAACAGCAUGUGAUCGCGGCGCGCCGGUUGGAUUUGUGAAAAGUCACAAUCAACUAAACUGAGAUGAGGCAUGCACUGAGACAAUGCCUCAACGCGUCAAGGCGGAGCGGCGAGCAACAGGCAAACCAACUAAAAGCAAGGCAACACAUCGCAGUAGAUCUUGUAGAGUUUUACUAGAGUCUACGAAGAGUAACUCAAUUCAGUUGAGCAUUGGACGGCGGAGCAAGCGCACGGAUUACUUGGGAUCGAAUUGGAUUGCCAAGGUACGGAUCGGUUCGUUAGUGGUGAAGCAAAGAAAAACUAAAAAGGUUCAAAGAAAAGUGAUAUUCAAGAAUUUGUAUUUGUAUGUGUGGGUGUAUGCUAGUCUCUGUCUCUAGCUGUCUGACAGGCAGUCAUACUAAACGACUGUGGCUGGCUCCAUGAUGAAAAAUAAAACGCGCAAGAGUAUCUAAGAAAUUAUUAAAGUGAAUGUUAAACCCAUCAAAAUAAAGCAAAAGAAAAAUUAAAUUUUUAGGCGCACAUUUUUUGGAAAUUCGAAGCUGGAGAGAAACUUUGUUAUGCUAAAAUGCACAUGUUCAAAAUAUUAUUUUAUGCAAUUUAAACAAAACUCUUCAGCAUAUUCAACAAGCUCAUUUCGUAGAACCGAAAUUUCGUUUAAACCAAAAGCAAAUACAAAAUAUCAAAUAAGUGAGAAGUACAUGUAUACAUAUGUAUGAAGAACUGCAGUACAACAACCUCAACAAAACAGCAUAAAAAUUAUGUUUUUAUCUUGCAACUCGAAAGCAGCCGUGAAUUAGUGUAUUUGACUUCCCGUGCAUUUGCUCUGAAUCUGUAUUGAGUACGGCGAGCGAAGUGAGUAGUCAAAGGGAGUUAAGGCCAUCUGAUCGAGCGCUCAAGUGUAAAAACUACCUGUGCAACGAAGAAAGCCAGCUGACCGCGAAUAGGGCGAGACACUCGACGGGCAAUUGUGUAAAGGUGUAAAACGAUGUAAAAAAAACCAAAACAGAUACAAAAGUAUAGAGUAAAACAAAUUACGAAAUAAAAAAGUAGAUAAUAAUAAUAG
Molecule: long non-coding RNA, 1153 nt
Organism: Rhagoletis pomonella (apple maggot)
Lineage: Eukaryota; Metazoa; Arthropoda; Insecta; Diptera; Tephritidae
Exons: 3
Source: RefSeq, a predicted model, not a curated record